AAAAUAUUGUCUAAAUUAUUGAAUAUAGCUGCUGAAGCCAUAUAUAAUAUUUCACUAUGUUUAUUCCUCCCUUAAGAAUGGGAUGGAAAUUAUAGAAUACAUAUCUGGUGAUAACUGAUAGUUUACAUCUUUAUUCCUGCCUUCAUAAUGGUGUGGAAAAUAUAAAUCACGUGUCUGGUGAUAAUUGAUAGUUUACAUCUUUAUUCCUCCUGUCAGAAGAACGAGAUGGAAACUGUAAAUUAUAUCCAGUGAUAAAUGUCACUGAUAGUUUAUAUCUCAUCCUUAUCAUAGAUCUAUAGGAACUCUCAAACCAUCACGUGCAAGCUGCACCAGUAUUCCCUCCAUUUCAGACCAUUCCGCUAAGAAGGCAUUGUCCCUGUAAUGAUCAAACUCGUGAUUCAUUCCCACUAAAAGAGCUUGCUUUGGACAUAACCUCUUCACAGCUUCAAGGGUCUGAGGUAAGCAAAAGUGAACAUUAUGGGAUCCAUCCCUCAGCAAGGAGUCCAAGAUAAGAAGAUCCAACUGCCCAGCCCCUGAUUUUGAAAUUACGUAUUCUGUGGUAGCAGGAAAACGCGAAACAUCAGAUAUAUAAGCUACUCGACUUCUUUCGCCAAAGAGAAAUCCCAAGCAAAUAUAGUCUUCUCCAUGCAUUACUGGCAAAGGAACAAAUUGUAUGCCUAAUGCAACAAAUGGCCUCCGACAAUCUUCUUCAAUUAUCUUCCAAUCUAGCUGUGCUACCCGCCUUAUUUCCGUGUGUUCCCUUAAUUUUUUCUUUAUCAAGUAGGGAAAUUUCAAAGCAAUGCUAUCCAUGGUAGAUUGGCUUAGGAAAACUGGGGUUGGAUCAAUAUCAUUUUUUGCACUAAAUGGUUCCACAGCACGUAUGUCAUCAAGUCCAAGAACUGCAUCAGCAUGUUCAUGAGUCAAAAUAAUAGAAUCCACUCGAGGAAUCUUGUGGAAAAUAAACCACCUAAGUACUUGCUCCCUGAAUGUCUUCCCAACAUCAAUCAAUAUAUAAUUGUGUUUCUCAUCACUCUGGCAAUAAUCUAUAAGAAGAGAUGUAUUGCACCUAUAGUUGGGAUUUUGCUCGGGCGGGACAGAGAGGGCCAUGGAGCAAACAUGGCAGCGAGGAUCCGAUGGCCGAAUCAGGCACGUUGCAAAUGGGAUGCAGUUGGAGCAACCGGUGCCAAGAAAGAUCAAAGCGGAUUUAACGCCACCAUCGUUAUUAGCAGCCAUCAAUGGAGACUCCAUUUCAGUGAAGUCGGUGUGAAAUGGAGAAACUUUUGCGUGAG
RNAcentral lists this unclassified non-coding RNA (1289 nucleotides) under Hevea brasiliensis (rubber tree). Lineage: Eukaryota; Viridiplantae; Streptophyta; Magnoliopsida; Malpighiales; Euphorbiaceae. The record is from RNAcentral.